UACGUAGGGUGCGAGCGUUGUCCGGAAUUAUUGGGCGUAAAGCGCUCGUAGGCGGUGUGUCACGUCGGCCGUGAAAACCUGCAGCUUAACUGUGGGCGUGCGGUCGAUACGGGCAUCACUGGAGUUCGGCAGGGGAGACUGGAAUUCCUGGUGUAGCGGUGAAAUGCGCAGAUAUCGGGAAGAACACCCGUGGCGAAGGCGGCUCUCUGGGACGGUACUGACGCUGAGACGCGAAAGCAAGGGGAGCAAACAGG
Molecule: ribosomal RNA, 254 nt
Filed under: uncultured prokaryote
Description: partial 16S ribosomal RNA
Rfam family: Bacterial small subunit ribosomal RNA
Source: RNAcentral